UUUGGUCCUGACCUUGAAGUCAAUUUUUACUUAAGAUACACAUGCAAGUAUCCGCUCCCCUGUGAGAACGCCCUUCAACCCCCCUUUAGGAAUAAGGAGCCGGUAUCAGGCGCAAUAUAUGCCCAAAACACCUAGCUUUGCCACACCCACAAGGGACUUCAGCAGUGAUUAACAUUGAAUAUUAGCGCAAGCUUGACUCAGUUAAAGUAAACAGAGCCGGCCAAUCUGGUGCCAGCCGCCGCGGUUACACCAUGUGGCUCAAAUUGACUCCUUCCGGCGUAAAGCGUGAUUAAAGUUAUCUUCUAAUAGAGUUAAAUUUAAACUAAGCUGUAACACGCUUGUUUUUAAGAAAUACACUAACGAAAGUUACUCUAAUCUAACCAACUUGAAUUCACGACAGCUGGAAAACAAACUGGGAUUAGAUACCCCACUAUGCCCAGCCGUAAACUUUUAUUUACACCUCAAUCGCCAGGGAACUACGAGCUAAGCUUAAAACCCAAAGGACUUGACGGUACCCCAUAUCCCCCUAGAGGAGCCUGUCCUACAAUCGAUAAUCCACGUUUAACCUCACCAUUUUUUGUUAAUCAGCCUGUAUACCUCCGUCGUCAGCUUACCACGUGAGCGCUUUUAAGUGAGCUUAAUGUUUUUCACCAGCACGUCAGGUCAAGGUGCAGUAAAUGAAAUGGGAAGAGAUGGGCUACACUUUCUAUUAUAGAAAAUACGAAAAACUACCUAUGAAACCUAGUUGGAAGGCGGAUUUAGCAGUAAAAAGGAAUCAGAAUAUUCAUUUUAAUUUGGCACUGGGGUGUGUACACACCGCCCGUCACCCUCUUCACAAUUUUAUACUAGUAUUAAACAAACUAAAAUAUUACAGAAGAGGCAAGUCGUAACAUGGUAAGUAUACCGGAAGGUGUGCUUGGAAA
This 923-nucleotide non-coding RNA is filed under the name Rhinella magnussoni. RNAcentral describes it as "12S ribosomal RNA". It matches the Rfam family "Bacterial small subunit ribosomal RNA". The record is from RNAcentral. Lineage: Eukaryota; Metazoa; Chordata; Amphibia; Anura; Bufonidae.